RNAcentral lists this ribosomal RNA (207 nucleotides) under uncultured bacterium. Its description in RNAcentral is "partial 16S ribosomal RNA". It matches the Rfam family "Bacterial small subunit ribosomal RNA", at positions 568 to 774 of the family's 1533-position model. The record is from RNAcentral.
CGUCUAGGCGGGGAGUUAAGUUAGAUGUGAAAGCCAUGGGCUCAACCCAUGAAUUGCACCUAAAACUGAUUCUCUUGAGUUCGGGAGAGGAGAGCGGAAUUCCCGGUGUAGCGGUGAAAUGCGUAGAUAUCGGGAAGAACACCAGUGGCGAAGGCGGCUCUCUGGCCCAGAACUGACGCUGAAGCGCGAAAGCGUGGGGAGCGAACG